Molecule: small RNA, 91 nt
Filed under: Mytilus galloprovincialis (Mediterranean mussel)
Lineage: Eukaryota; Metazoa; Mollusca; Bivalvia; Mytilida; Mytilidae
Source: RNAcentral
AUGGGUUUAAGGUCAAAUGAACCCCGUCAAACAGACUUGAUUGUAAGGUGAACAGGUCUGUUUGACGGGGUUCAUUUGACCUUAAACCCAU